GGGUGUUAGCUGCAUGCCGCAGCGGGACAGGUUCAUGCGUCGGUCGGGCCGCCACG
Molecule: non-coding RNA, 56 nt
Filed under: Parapusillimonas granuli
Lineage: Bacteria; Pseudomonadati; Pseudomonadota; Betaproteobacteria; Burkholderiales; Alcaligenaceae
Also listed under: 1 other name
Description: Pusillimonas terrae nhaA-I RNA
Rfam family: nhaA-I RNA
About the family: Acidobacteria, Alphaproteobacteria, Betaproteobacteria and Gammaproteobacteria, Verrucomicrobia, cand. division NC10. Downstream gene
Source: Rfam by way of RNAcentral